GACAGAGGGUGCAAACGUUGUUCGGAAUUACUGGGCGUAAAGCGCGUGUAGGCGGCUAUGUAAGUCGGGCGUGAAAUCCCACGGCUCAACCGUGGAAGUGCACCCGAAACUGCGUAGCUAGAGUCCUGGAGAGGAAGGUGGAAUGCUUGGUGUAGAGGUGAAAUUCGUAGAUAUCAAGCGGAACACCGGUGGCGAAGGCGGCCUUCUGGACAGUGACUGACGCUGAGACGCGAAAGCUAGGGGAGCAAACGGG
This 253-nucleotide ribosomal RNA is filed under the name uncultured bacterium. RNAcentral describes it as "partial 16S ribosomal RNA". It matches the Rfam family "Bacterial small subunit ribosomal RNA", at positions 524 to 776 of the family's 1533-position model. The record is from RNAcentral.